AUAUUCUGGUUUCUCUUCAGAUCAUAUAAAUCUUUUGCCUUUUACUAAAGAUUUCCAUGGAGAGGAACAAUUAUGAGUUACUAACCAAUUUUUUGAGGCUUCAUUGAAGUGAGGUU
Small nuclear RNA from Phascolarctos cinereus (koala), 116 nucleotides. Its record names the gene U5. It matches the Rfam family "U5 spliceosomal RNA". Rfam says of the family: U5 RNA is a component of both types of known spliceosome. NCBI's taxonomy places the organism in Eukaryota, Metazoa, Chordata, Mammalia, Diprotodontia, Phascolarctidae. The record is from Ensembl.